GACGAACGCUGGCGGCGUGCUUAACACAUGCAAGUCGAACGGAAAGGCCCUGCUUUUGUGGGGUGCUCGAGUGGCGAACGGGUGAGUAACACGUGAGUAACCUGCCCUUGACUUUGGGAUAACUUCAGGAAACUGGGGCUAAUACCGGAUAGGAGCUCCUGCUGCAUGGUGGGGGUUGGAAAGUUUCGGCGGUUGGGGAUGGACUCGCGGCUUAUCAGCUUGUUGGUGGGGUAUUGGCUUACCAAGGCUUUGACGGGUAGCCGGCCUGGGAGGGUGACCGCCCACCUUGGGACUGAGAUACGGCCCAGACUCCUACGGGAGGCAGCAGUGGAGAAUAUUGCACAAUGGGCGGAAGCCUGAUGCAGAAACGCCGCGUGCGGGAUGACGGCCUUCGGGUUGUAAACCGCUUUCGCCUGUGACGAAGCGUGAGUGACGGUAAUGGGUAAAGAAGCACCGGCUAACUACGUG
Molecule: ribosomal RNA, 468 nt
Filed under: uncultured bacterium
Lineage: Bacteria
Description: partial 16S ribosomal RNA
Rfam family: Bacterial small subunit ribosomal RNA
Source: RNAcentral